GAAAAGUCUAGAAAUUGAAGAGAAAAUUAAUAAAAUUAGGUGGUUGCCACAACAGAAUGCUGCUCAUUUUCUACUCUCUACAAAUGAUAAAACUAUUAAAUUAUGGAAAAUAAGUGAACGGGAUAAAAGAGCAGAAGGUUAUAACUUAAAAGAUGAAGAUGGACGACUUCGAGAUCCUUUUAGAAUUACAGCACUACAGGUCCCUAUAUUGAAGCCCAUGGACCUUAUGGUAGAAGCAAGUCCGCGGCGAAUUUUUGCAAAUGCUCACAUGUAUCAUAUAAGUUCCAUUUCAGUAAAUAGUGAUCAUGAAACGUAUCUUUCUGCAGAUGACCUGAGAAUAAACCUAUGGCAUUUAGAAAUCACAGAUAGAAGCUUUAACAUUGUGGAUAUCAAGCCUGCUAACAUGGAAGAGCUGAUGGAAUUCAUCACCGCUGCCGAGUUCCACCCACACCAGUGCAAUGUGUUUGUCUACAGCAGCAGCAAAGGGACCAUCCGGCUAUGUGACAUGCGUUCCUCUGCCCUGUGUGACAGACACUCUAAGUUUUUUGAAGAGCCUGAAGAUCCCAGCAGUAGAUCCUUUUUCUCAGAAAUAAUUUCAUCUAUCUCUGAUGUCAAAUUCAGCCAUAGCGCUCGAUACAUGAUGACCAGGGACUACCUGUCUGUGAAGGUUUGGGACCUCAACAUGGAGAACAGGCCUGUGGAGACCCACCAGGUGCAUGAGUACCUGCGAAGCAAGCUCUGUUCCCUGUAUGAGAAUGACUGCAUCUUUGACAAGUUUGAGUGCUGUUGGAAUGGUUCAGACAGUGCUAUCAUGACGGGGUCCUACAACAACUUCUUUAGAAUGUUUGAUAGAAACACUCGGCGGGAUGUUACACUGGAAGCUUCAAGAGAGAACAGCAAACCCCGAGCCAGCUUAAAACCCCGGAAAGUAUGUACAGGUGGUAAAAGGAAGAAAGAUGAGAUUAGUGUGGACAGUCUAGACUUCAACAAGAAGAUCCUUCACACAGCCUGGCACCCCGUGGAGAACAUUAUUGCUGUAGCUGCCACCAAUAACUUGUAUAUAUUCCAGGACAAAAUCAACUAAAAAAGCUAACUGGAGGACCAAGUCUUAUCUCAAAUAGUUAAG
This is an RNA transcript of Octodon degus (degu), 1126 nucleotides long. It is a transcript of the gene named serine/threonine-protein phosphatase 2A 55 kDa regulatory subunit B delta isoform pseudogene, with no coding region annotated. The record is from RefSeq and is a predicted model, not a curated record. NCBI's taxonomy places the organism in Eukaryota, Metazoa, Chordata, Mammalia, Rodentia, Octodontidae. The transcript has a single exon.